Molecule: ribosomal RNA, 490 nt
Filed under: uncultured bacterium
Lineage: Bacteria
Description: partial 16S ribosomal RNA
Rfam family: Bacterial small subunit ribosomal RNA
Source: RNAcentral
AUUGAACGCUGGCGGCAGGCCUAACACAUGCAAGUCGAACGGUAACAGGAAGAAGCUUGCUUCUUUGCUGACGAGUGGCGGACGGGUGAGUCAUGUCUGGGAAACUGCCUGAUGGAGGGGGAUAACUACUGGAAACGGUAGCUACUACCGCAUAACGUCGCAAGACCAAAGAGGGGGACCUUCGGGCCUCUUGCCAUCGGAUGUGCCCAGAUGGGAUUAGCUAGUAGGUGGGGUAACGGCUCACCUAGGCGACGAUCCCUAGCUGGUCUGAGAGGAUGACAAGCCACACUGGAACUGAGACACGGUCCAGACUCCUACGGGAGGCAGCAGUGGGGAAUAUUGCACAAUGGGGGCAAGCCUGAUGCAGCCAUGCCGCGUGUAUGAAGAAGGCCUUCGGGUUGUAAAGUACUUUCAGCGGGGAGGAAGGGAGUAAAGUUAAUACCUUUGCUCAUUGACGUUACCCGCAGAAGAAGCACCGGCUAACUACGUG